GGCGGGGUAGCUCAGUUGGUUAGAGCAGCGGAAUCAUAAUCCGCGUGUCGGGGGUUCAAGUCCCUCUCCCGCUA
Transfer RNA from Aurantimonas sp. Leaf443, 74 nucleotides. It matches the Rfam family "tRNA". Rfam says of the family: Transfer RNA (tRNA) molecules are approximately 80 nucleotides in length. Their secondary structure includes four short double-helical elements and three loops (D, anti-codon, and T loops). Further hydrogen bonds mediate the characteristic L-shaped molecular structure. tRNAs have two regions of fundamental functional importance: the anti-codon, which is responsible for specific mRNA codon recognition, and the 3' end, to which the tRNAs corresponding amino acid is attached (by aminoacyl-tRNA synthetases). tRNAs cope with the degeneracy of the genetic code in two manners: having more than one tRNA (with a specific anti-codon) for a particular amino acid; and 'wobble' base-pairing, i.e. permitting non-standard base-pairing at the 3rd anti-codon position. The record is from Rfam. Lineage: Bacteria; Pseudomonadati; Pseudomonadota; Alphaproteobacteria; Hyphomicrobiales; Aurantimonadaceae.